GCGUGUAUAGUAUAGGGGUUAGUAUGUCAGCCUUCCAACCCGAACAGCUGACGACCUGGGUUCGAGUCCCAGUGCACGCA
Molecule: non-coding RNA, 80 nt
Organism: Tilletia walkeri
Lineage: Eukaryota; Fungi; Basidiomycota; Exobasidiomycetes; Tilletiales; Tilletiaceae
Source: Rfam